Molecule: ribosomal RNA, 763 nt
Filed under: uncultured bacterium
Lineage: Bacteria
Description: bacterial SSU rRNA
Rfam family: Bacterial small subunit ribosomal RNA
Source: RNAcentral
UUCGCCCUUACACUUUGAGCCUGGCUCAGAGCGAACGCUGGCGGCAGGCUUAACACAUGCAAGUCGAGCGGGCGUAGCAAUACGUCAGCGGCAGACGGGUGAGUAACGCGUGGGAACGUACCUUUUGGUUCGGAACAACACAGGGAAACUUGUGCUAAUACCGGAUAAGCCCUUACGGGGAAAGAUUUAUCGCCGAAAGAUCGGCCCGCGUCUGAUUAGCUAGUUGGUGAGGUAACGGCUCACCAAGGCGACGAUCAGUAGCUGGUCUGAGAGGAUGAUCAGCCACAUUGGGACUGAGACACGGCCCAAACUCCUACGGGAGGCAGCAGUGGGGAAUAUUGGACAAUGGGGGCAACCCUGAUCCAGCCAUGCCGCGUGAGUGAUGAAGGCCCUAGGGUUGUAAAGCUCUUUUGUGCGGGAAGAUAAUGACGGUACCGCAAGAAUAAGCCCCGGCUAACUUCGUGCCAGCAGCCGCGGUAAUACGAAGGGGGCUAGCGUUGCUCGGAAUCACUGGGCGUAAAGGGUGCGUAGGCGGAUCUUUAAGUCAGAGGUGAAAGCCUGGAGCUCAACUCCAGAACUGCCUUUGAUACUGGGGAUCUUGAGUUCGGGAGAGGUGAGUGGAACUGCGAGUGUAGAGGUGAAAUUCGUAGAUAUUCGCAAGAACACCAGUGGCGAAGGCGGCUCACUGGCCCGAUACUGACGCUGAGGCACGAAAGCGUGGGGAGCAAACAGGAUUAGACACCCUGGUAGUCCACGCCGUAAA